RNAcentral lists this ribosomal RNA (629 nucleotides) under Ligilactobacillus salivarius. Its description in RNAcentral is "bacterial SSU rRNA". It matches the Rfam family "Bacterial small subunit ribosomal RNA", at positions 66 to 679 of the family's 1533-position model. Lineage: Bacteria; Bacillati; Bacillota; Bacilli; Lactobacillales; Lactobacillaceae. The record is from RNAcentral.
CCGAAUGCUUGCAUUCACCGUAAGAAGUUGAGUGGCGGACGGGUGAGUAACACGUGGGUAACCUGCCUAAAAGAAGGGGAUAACACUUGGAAACAGGUGCUAAUACCGUAUAUCUCUAAGGAUCGCAUGAUCCUUAGAUGAAAGAUGGUUCUGCUAUCGCUUUUAGAUGGACCCGCGGCGUAUUAACUAGUUGGUGGGGUAACGGCCUACCAAGGUGAUGAUACGUAGCCGAACUGAGAGGUUGAUCGGCCACAUUGGGACUGAGACACGGCCCAAACUCCUACGGGAGGCAGCAGUAGGGAAUCUUCCACAAUGGACGCAAGUCUGAUGGAGCAACGCCGCGUGAGUGAAGAAGGUCUUCGGAUCGUAAAACUCUGUUGUUAGAGAAGAACACGAGUGAGAGUAACUGUUCAUUCGAUGACGGUAUCUAACCAGCAAGUCACGGCUAACUACGUGCCAGCAGCCGCGGUAAUACGUAGGUGGCAAGCGUUGUCCGGAUUUAUUGGGCGUAAAGGGAACGCAGGCGGUCUUUUAAGUCUGAUGUGAAAGCCUUCGGCUUAACCGGAGUAGUGCAUUGGAAACUGGAAGACUUGAGUGCAGAAGAGGAGAGUGGAACUCCAUGUGGUAGC